GAGUAAAGUGGCGCACGGGUGAGUAACACGUGACUAACCUACCCUGGAGUGGGGGAUAACUGGGAGAAAUCCUAGCUAAUACCGCAUAAUACCUACGGGUCAAAGGAGCAAUUCGCUCUGGGAGGGGGUCGCGGCCGAUUAGUUAGUUGGCGGGGUAAUGGCCCACCAAGACGAUGAUCGGUAUCCGGCCUGAGAGGGCGCACGGACACACUGGAACUGAAACACGGUCCAGACUCCUACGGGAGGCAGCAGUGGGGAAUUUUGCGCAAUGGGGGAAACCCUGACGCAGCAACGCCGCGUGGAGGAUGAAGUCCUUCGGGACGUAAACUCCUUUCGAUCGGGACGAUUAUGACGGUACCGGAAGAAGAAGCCCCGGCUAACUUCGUGCCAGCAGCCGCGGUAAUACGAGGGGGGCGAGCGUUGUUCGGAAUUAUUGGGCGUAAAGGGUGCGUAGGCGGUUUGGUAAGUCUGAUGUGAAAUCUAUGGGCUCAACUCAUAGUCUGCAUCGGAAACUGCCGGGCUUGAGUAUGGGAGAGGUGAGUGGAAUUCCUGGUGUAGCGGUGAAAUGCGUAGAUAUCAGGAGGAACACCUGUGGCGAAAGCGGCUCACUGGACCAUAACUGACGCUGAUGCACGAAAGCUAGGGGAGCAAACAGGAUUAGAUACCCUGGUAGUCCUAGCCCUAAACGAUGAUCGCUUGGGUGUGACGGGUACCCAAUCCCGCCGUGCCGUAGCUAACGCGUUAAGC
This 747-nucleotide ribosomal RNA is filed under the name uncultured bacterium. RNAcentral's name for it is "bacterial SSU rRNA". It matches the Rfam family "Bacterial small subunit ribosomal RNA", at positions 88 to 865 of the family's 1533-position model. The record is from RNAcentral.